UGGGGAAUCUUGCGCAAUGGGCGAAAGCCUGACGCAGCAAUGCCGCGUGAGGGAAGAAGGUCUUAGGAUUGUAAACCUCUUUCAGCAGGGACGAAAAUGACGGUACCUGCAGAAGAAGCCCCGGCUAACUACGUGCCAGCAGCCGCGGUAAUACGUAGGGGGCGAGCGUUGUCCGGAAUCAUUGGGCGUAAAGAGCGUGUAGGUGGACUGGAAGGUCUGGUGUGAAAGCCCGGGGCUCAACCCCGGAGGGUCACUGGAAACCAACAGUCUUGAGUCCGGAAGAGGAGAGUGGAAUUCCUGGUGUAGCGGUGGAAUGCGCAGAUAUCAGGAGGAACACCAAUGGCGAAGGCAGCUCUCUGGUACGUGACUGACACUGAGACGCGAAAGCGUGGGGAGCGAACAG
RNAcentral lists this ribosomal RNA (403 nucleotides) under uncultured bacterium. RNAcentral describes it as "bacterial SSU rRNA". It matches the Rfam family "Bacterial small subunit ribosomal RNA", at positions 355 to 775 of the family's 1533-position model. The record is from RNAcentral.